Corvus hawaiiensis (hawaiian crow) is the source of this 132-nucleotide long non-coding RNA. RefSeq lists it as uncharacterized. The record is from RefSeq and is a predicted model, not a curated record. Lineage: Eukaryota; Metazoa; Chordata; Aves; Passeriformes; Corvidae. The transcript is spliced from 3 exons.
UGAGAAAUGUAAGCUCUAAAUUGUAAGAGCUUUCCCGAAUGAAUAUUUGCGAGCAAGAUACCGAUCCCUGAGGAAGAUUCGUGAGUAACAUAAUCACUCUAGACCUCUCUCUUCUCAUCUUGGUUUGGAUAU